AGGUUUCCGUAAGUGAACCUGCGGAAGGAUCAUUA
This 35-nucleotide ribosomal RNA is filed under the name Bunodosoma sp. RS-2011. RNAcentral describes it as "partial 18S ribosomal RNA". The record is from RNAcentral. Lineage: Eukaryota; Metazoa; Cnidaria; Anthozoa; Actiniaria; Actiniidae.